CCAAGGGUUCCUGUCCAACGUUAAUCGGGGCAGGGUGAGUCGACCCCUAAGGCGAGGCCGAAAGGCGUAGUCGAUGGGAAACAGGUUAAUAUUCCUGUACUUGGUGUUACUGCGAAGGGGGGACGGAGAAGGCUAUGUUGGCCGGGCGACGGUUGUCCCGGUUUAAGCGUGUAGGCUGGUUUUCCAGGCAAAUCCGGAAAAUCAAGGCUGAGGCGUGAUGACGAGGCACUACGGUGCUGAAGCAACAAAUGCCCUGCUUCCAGGAAAAGCCUCUAAGCAUCAGGUAACAUCAAAUCGUACCCCAAACCGACACAGGUGGUCAGGUAGAGAAUACCAAGGCGCUUGAGAGAACUCGGGUGAAGGAACUAGGCAAAAUGGUGCCGUAACUUCGGGAGAAGGCACGCUGAUAUGUAGGUGAAGUCCCUCGCGGAUGGAGCUGAAAUCAGUCGAAGAUACCAGCUGGCUGCAACUGUUUAUUAAAAACACAGCACUGUGCAAACACGAAAGUGGACGUAUACGGUGUGACGCCUGCCCGGUGCCGGAAGGUUAAUUGAUGGGGUCAGCGCAAGCGAAGCUCUUGAUCGAAGCCCCGGUAAACGGCGGCCGUAACUAUAACGGUCCUAAGGUAGCGAAAUUCCUUGUCGGGUAAGUUCCGACCUGCACGAAUGGCGUAAUGAUGGCCAGGCUGUCUCCACCCGAGACUCAGUGAAAUUGAACUCGCUGUGAAGAUGCAGUGUACCCGCGGCAAGACGGAAAGACCCCGUGAACCUUUACUAUAGCUUGACACUGAACAUUGAGCCUUGAUGUGUAGGAUAGGUGGGAGGCUUUGAAGUGUGGACGCCAGUCUGCAUGGAGCCGACCUUGAAAUACCACCCUUUAAUGUUUGAUGUUCUAACGUGGACCCGUGAUCCGGGUUGCGGACAGUGUCUGGUGGGUAGUUUGACUGGGGCGGUCUCCUCCUAAAGAGUAACGGAGGAGCACGAAGGUUGGCUAAUCCUGGUCGGACAUCAGGAGGUUAGUGCAAUGGCAUAAGCCAGCUUGACUGCGAGCGUGACGGCGCGAGCAGGUGCGAAAGCAGGUCAUAGUGAUCCGGUGGUUCUGAAUGGAAGGGCCAUCGCUCAACGGAUAAAAGGUACUCCGGGGAUAACAGGCUGAUACCGCCCAAGAGUUCAUAUCGACGGCGGUGUUUGGCACCUCGAUGUCGGCUCAUCACAUCCUGGGGCUGAAGUAGGUCCCAAGGGUAUGGCUGUUCGCCAUUUAAAGUGGUACGCGAGCUGGGUUUAGAACGUCGUGAGACAGUUCGGUCCCUAUCUGCCGUGGGCGCUGGAGAACUGAGGGGGGCUGCUCCUAGUACGAGAGGACCGGAGUGGACGCAUCACUGGUGUUCGGGUUGUCAUGCCAAUGGCACUGCCCGGUAGCUAAAUGCGGAAGAGAUAAGUGCUGAAAGCAUCUAAGCACGAAACUUGCCCCGAGAUGAGUUCUCCCUGACCCUUUAAGGGUCCUGAAGGAACGUUGAAGACGACGACGUUGAUAGGCCGGGUGUGUAAGCGCAGCGAUGCGUUGAGCUAACCGGUACUAAUGAACCGUGAGGCUUAACCUUACAACGCCGAAGGUGUUU
RNAcentral lists this ribosomal RNA (1618 nucleotides) under Escherichia coli. Its description in RNAcentral is "partial 23S ribosomal RNA". It matches the Rfam family "Bacterial large subunit ribosomal RNA", at positions 1345 to 2925 of the family's 2925-position model. The record is from RNAcentral. Lineage: Bacteria; Pseudomonadati; Pseudomonadota; Gammaproteobacteria; Enterobacterales; Enterobacteriaceae.